RNAcentral lists this ribosomal RNA (1442 nucleotides) under Candidatus Collierbacteria bacterium. Its description in RNAcentral is "bacterial SSU rRNA". It matches the Rfam family "Bacterial small subunit ribosomal RNA". The record is from RNAcentral. Lineage: Bacteria; Candidatus Collieribacteriota.
UUGAGAAUUUGAUCCUGGUUCAGGACGAACGCUGGCAGUGUACCUUAAGCAUGCAAGUCGAACGGUGAAACACUUGGCCGCAAGGCCUUGUGUGGAGCAGUGGCAGACGGGUGAGGAAAGACAGGAAUCUACCUUUUUGUGGGGAAUAGCUGGCCGAAAGGCCAAUUAAUACCGCAUAAGUCCGCAAGGAGAAAGGCCUUAACCGGCCGCAGAAAGAUGAGCCUGUUCGCUAUCAGCUAGUUGGUGAGGUAAUGGCUCACCAAGGCUAUGACGGCUAGGGGGCGUGAGAGCGUGGCCCCCCACAAUGUUACUUAGACACGGAACAUACAUCUACGGAUGGCAGCAACUGGGAAUUUUGCACAAUGGACGAAAGUCUGAUGCAGUGACACUGCGUGUGGGAUGAAGGCCCUCGGGUCGUAAACCACUGUGAUAGGGGAAGAAAUUUUGACGGUACCCUAUUAGAAAGCGCCGGCAAACUACGUGCCAGAAGCCUCGGUAAUACGUAGGGCGCAAGCGUUGUCCGGAUUUAUUGGGCGUAAAGAGUAUCGUAGGCGGUUUGUAAAGUAUCGGGUUAAAGCCUGGAGCUCAACUCCAGAGAUGCUCGAUAAACUAACAGACUAGUGGGUGUUCGGGGUUGCUAGAAUUCUUGGUGGAGGAGUGAAAUCCAUUGAUAUCAAGAAGAAUACCAAAAGCGAAGGCAGGCAACUAGAACAUUCCAGACGCUGAUGAACGAAAGCUAGGGGAGCGAAAGGGAUUAGAGACCCCUGUAGUCCUAGCCGUAAACAAUGAACACUAGCUAUUUCCCGUAAGGGGAGUGGUGUAAGCUAACGCGUUAAGUGUUCCGCCUGGGGAGUACGGCCGCAAGGCUAAAACUCAAAGGAAUUGACGGGGAAUCGCACAAUCAGCGUGCCAUGUGGUUUAAUUGGAUACGAAACCUUGAACCUUACCUAGAUUUGACAUGUAACUGCAAAUCCCCGGAAACGGGGACUCCUUCGAGGGUGUUACACAGCUGCUGCAUGGUUGUCGUCAGUUCGUGUCGUGAGGCGUCGGCUUAAGUGCCGUAACGAACGCAACCCCUGUGCUAUGUUAAAUAUCCAUAGCAGACUGCCACGGUUUUUUCCGUGGAGGAAGGAGGGGAUGAUGUCAAAUCAGCAUGGCGCUUAUAUCUAGGGCUACACACAUGGCGUAAUGGGUGGGACAACGGGAUGCCAAGGCGCGAGCCGGAGCUAAUCCUUAUAAACCCAUCCUCAGUUCGGAUCGCAGGCUGCAAUUCGCCUGCGUGAAGGGGAGUUGAUAGUAAUCGCGGAUCAGCAACACCGCGGUGAAUACGUUCUCGAUUCUUGUACACACUGCCCGUCAAGUCAACAAAGUCAGNNGCGAUGGGGGCUAAGUCGUAACAAGGUAUCCGUACUGGAAGGUGCGGAUGGAUCACCUCCUUUCUA